CCCUCCCUCUCAGCUUUCCCAUUGUAUCCAGAGGCUCUAUUUGGCAAUGACAGAGAUUCUCUAACUCUCUCAGAAUUAAAAUGCAAAGAGGAGCAAGGCUGCUUGCUGGCAGGAAGCCAGGGAGGGCCAGCGGGUCACCUAGUCCUCCACUGGGAGUCAUUCUUGGCAGGUUGUUUUUCAAUUUCCUUUGCUUGGGUUGUGGUGGAUUCUAGAGUCUUGUUUUCUUGUACGUGGGGAUGGUUUGAGAGCCUUUUGGGGGUGGUGGGGUGGGGACAGCAUUCGAUAUGCAUGGAUGAGCCUCAAGGCUUGCAAACUCCCAAAAGGUUUCAAAUAUAGCCUGUAUGAGGUACUGCAUGGCUGGCCCCCCUUCUGGCUUCUAACUGGAGACAAGAAAUCUGGCAUAAGGGUCGCAAGAGCCCGGAAGGAUUGACUUCCUGUUUGGAAGCUGUCACCUCAGCACGUGGCUUUCACGUUUCCAGCUGAGCCUCUGGACUAGUUUGAUCCUGUGUCCCUUCUACCUAUGCCUGGAGAGGCUGACAGCCAGGUAUGGGAUUCCUCCUGGAGCUGGAGUUACAUGGACUCAUGAGCUGACGGACCUGUACCGAGAACUCAAGCCCUCUGCAAGAACACUAAGUGAGCUUCACCACAAAGCCCACUUUAGCCCGCUGCCAUCAAGAUUUUAAGGAACUACUAGAUGAGUGUGCUUCUUCAGCUCUAAAGCUCAGGGUUAAGGCACAAGAAUCAGGAGUCCUGAGUAUGACAUGGAGGCUUCGGUUUUAGCCCUGAAAGUUAGGCGACUCUUAUUGGAGUUUCGCUGAUUUCCCCCUAACCAGAUCCAACAGGACCUCAAAGGAGGAGUAAAGGCUCUGGUUUGUUGGUGGUUAGUCACUUUCUGCUGCAAGCGCUAUGGCCCAGAUGAGUCAGGAUUCUCCAUCAUGUUUUGCAUACCUGACAUUUUAGUGUGCUCAGCAGCUGCUGUUCCUUUUCACUAACUGACUCCUCCAGCUGCUUCUCUGUCAUCUGGGAUUGCUGCAGCUGGCUGAGAAGGUACAACACCUAAGGAAAGAGAGAGGCAGCACGCGGUGGGGGUGGGGUGGGUAUCCCAGGAGUAAGGGGAAAGGAUGUUCUCUAGCUCAAGCCCUGGUCCAUGGAACUUCCUUGUGAGCUAAAGAGGAAGAAUGUCUUGUCUUUUCAUGGUCCAAAGUGAUAAGCCUAGGAGAGGUGUUAACCUCUCUGCAUGUUCACCUGAAACUUUGAGCCAGUGGUUAUGAGCCACUUAGACAAGUCUUUUUUGUUUCCGGUUACUUACUUGCAAAAUGUGGAAAAGACCACAUAAACUUUCGAAGGAAGCUUCAUGGGCCACUAGUGCCUGUUUAUUUUUCAAAUAGUGACAGGGUCCCAGUAUAGUCCAGAAUGGCUCUAAAUUUAAGAGCAUUCUUCUGCCUUACCUUCCCAGAGUGCUAGGCUUAUAGGCAUCAGCACCAUGAUAGGCAGCUUCUACCCCUUUUAAAAACUAACCAAGCACAGGCAGUGGCCGCCCAUGACUCGCCGUAACUCCUUCUCUUGCUCAGUUACCUUUUCUUGGUGCUGUUGCUCCACUUUGACCAGCUCUUCUUUUAACUCUGUCUCUAUCUUAGCAAAAUGAUUUUGCUCCUCAAACAGCAUCUUCUGCACGUCAAUACAGCUGGCCUUGCUCUGAUUCAGGCUGCUUUCUAGUUUGCUCACCAGUAUUUUGGAGGAGACGAGCUGAAAAGGUAAGAGAAAGGCAUUGCAUUUGCAGAAGGAUCUAUCUUCUCCCAUUCUUUGGGCACCUUUCUUGAAACAGUUUGAUAAAUGUGCUUCCAAGAAAGUCUAAGUCCACUCUCAUUUUCCCCCAUGUCAUGUGGAUUCUAAUAGUGAACUGAAACACUACUACUGGCUUUAAUUGUUUUUAUUUUUGGUGUACGUGAGUAUUUUCUGCAUGUAUAUCUGUAUACAAUAUGUCUGGUGCCUGCAGAGGCCUAAGGAGGGAUGUCAGAUCUCCUAGAACUAGACUUACAGAUGGUUGUGAGCCACCACAUGGGUGCUAGGAAUCAAAAGUGGGGUCACUGAACCAUCUCUCCAGCCCCUUAAAAGGACCAUUUCAUUCCUAGGCCAUAAGUUGAUAUUUAUGCAAAGACAGGGUAGAAGCCACAACUGGGUCAUUUAUCUGUUGCUCUGUUUCAAGGUAAGAAUAAACCUAACAUGGACAGUAUCUGACAAUUCCAAAAUUCUGAAACUUUUAAGUAGAUCUUAAAUUUUAAAGAGGAAUUCACAGGACCCAGCUUAUUAGCCAAUUCUGUCUCAGAAUCUCUGUUUACAUGUUAGAACUAAAUGGCUUCAAACUCAUUAAGAUCAGCCUGUCUCUGCCUCCCAAGUGCUGGGAUUACAGGUAUAUACCAACAUGCCUGGCAAAAACCUGGAAGUUUGAUUGCUGAAAUCAUAGAUCUUUCUAGAUAUACGUCUUUAGGCAAGACCGAUAGAUAUCCUGUACUGGCCUACUUUGAUUUUUAAUACUAGCCCAGAUAAUGAGCAGUAUUCCUAAGACUAGUUAGGAUUACUUAGCAGAAUAAGUCUGUUAGCCCAAGACAAGACUGUAUAAAGUGUUGCAAUGUGGAUCUGGGAACUGUAUCGCUUGAGUGAUUGCUUUGAUUCAUCUUCUGACAAUUUAUGAUGAACCCGUACAUUUAAGAUCAAUGAAGAAAGCUGGGUAUGGUGGCGCACGCCUUUAAUCUUAGCACUCUGGAGGCAGAGGCAGUCAAAUCUCUGGGAUCUUAGAGGCCAGCCUGGUCUACAUAGGGAGAUCCAGGACAGCAAAAGGCUACACAGAAACACUCAUGUCUCAAUAGAAACCAAAAAAAAAUCAAUUUUCCUUAAAAUGAAUCUAUCUAUCUAUCUAUCUAUCUAUCUAUCUAUCUAUUUAUCUAUCUAAUGAUUAAGUUUUCUCCUUGAGAGGGUGUCUCAAGUUUUUAAAUACACAUCCCAUACAUGUUUUUCAAGGUAGUACAAUACUUUAUGCUUAACCAGUAACAACUUCUGUUUUUUUUUUCCAGUAACAAUCAAUAGCUCACAUAAAUGUAUACUUGCUAUAUAUAUGUCAGGCAUGCUGACUAUCACAUUUCUGAUCUUCCUAAGUAAUUGGCUUGGACUUACUACUAACCACUGCUUACUCAUUAAAGGCUUCAGUGUUGGUAUCACUGGGGUUGCUACCAAGAAAAGUAGCUACAGCACUAAGAAAGUGUCCCUUUGCACCUCAUACUUCGAGCUCCCCUAGAGCUGUUGCUAAGAAGAAUGGUUUUACCUCUCCC
Long non-coding RNA from Mus musculus (house mouse), 3326 nucleotides. RefSeq annotates it as predicted gene, 52438. The record is from RefSeq and is a predicted model, not a curated record. The transcript is spliced from 3 exons. NCBI's taxonomy places the organism in Eukaryota, Metazoa, Chordata, Mammalia, Rodentia, Muridae.